Long non-coding RNA from Equus asinus (donkey), 4161 nucleotides. Lineage: Eukaryota; Metazoa; Chordata; Mammalia; Perissodactyla; Equidae. The record is from Ensembl.
CGUAGUUUGGAGUGUGUCCUCUGGGAUCAGACCUCCUGGGUUUGAAGCCCAGCUUGAUUGCUUCCUAGUGGGACAAUCUUGGGCAGUUUGGGGACUGACUUCACUUAACAGCCUUCUGACAUUAUAUCCAGGGACAGUUUAAUAUAAAGGAUUGUUAACUAGUAGAAGGGGCUUAGCUGCUAAAGGGAGUAAAAGGCUAAAAGGCAUCUAAGGGGUACCAAAGGCCCAGCCACUACCUCUUGGCUGAAAGGAGGGGACAAUAAAGGAACUAAGGGCAAGGAUGGGAGUCAGUCCUCUUCAGAGAAGCCAUUGCUACCUCAGGAACCUGCAGCCUGCUGGUGGGACAAGACUUGCAGAAGGUAGGGCCAGAGCUGGUCUGCAGAAGCAGCGCCCAGAGAGGAGAGUGUGGCCGGAGAUGCGGCUGGGACUCCAAGCUGGCCUCUGGGCUCCUGCUCUGAAUAACUAUGGAGGACCAGGACCUGUAAGGGAGGGUCUUCCUGGGGCUGCAGCCUUGCAGUGUCCCUCUGGUGCCCUCUGUUGACAUAGCCUAACAUUCUGCCAGCUCCAGCCAUGAGGCAAGGCAAAGAAGGGUGGGUUUGGGGCUGGGACACAAUACAUUGAUAACUGGCAGUGAUUUAUCCUUUAUGCCUUAUGUUCAUCUGGAAACGGGAGAUAAUAAUUUUACACACCCCCCCCCCCACAUACAAAGAAUUAUCACAUAGACUUAUUGUAAAAAGUAAAUGAAUUAAUGCGUGUAAGUGCUUAGACCCAUAGCUAGUGCAGUCUCGGUCGGCUAUUCCAAUUGGCUCUAAUUUAUUACCUCCUACCGGGCCCAUGUCAUGAGCUGAUAUCCAGGGAAGAGCGGGACCCUGCCUCUGCCCGCAUGGAGCCGCAUCUUUAGUGCCUUUAGUUACAUGGUCAGAUUUCAGAUGCUUCCUAGUUUGUAUUUUAAGGACUAAUACUAUCCUGAAGCCUAGCUUUAAGAAUUUGAAGAACUUCUUAGCAUAAUGUAACCAUUUUUCUUUUGGUCUAACUCUUUUUAGCAGAGAAGGAUGCAUGAUAUUUUUCUCUGUGGUUCCUUAAAAAGAGAAAUCACUGCCAAAUAAUGAAUUCCUUCACCCAAUAUUUAUUAACUGCCUACUAUGGGUCAGACAGGAUUCUAGGUCCUGGGGAUGCAGAAGUGAACAAGAAAAGACAAAACGAAAUUUCUAUCUUCAUAGGGCUUAGAUUCUAGGUGGCGGCUGGGGGAGAUGGACGACAGACAAAAUAAAUAGAAAUAGGGUAUAAGUGAUAAGUACUAUGGAGAAAAAGAAAACUGGGAAUGAGGAUAAACUUGAUUCUCUUCCUCAAGUCUCAUUACUUAAAAAGAAUUAUGUGUGUGUCUGUUGUGUUUUGGUGCCAGUUCCAUGUAUAUUCUGUGAUUCCGAAUCAGUUGUGGAAACUAGAAACGCCAGGAUCCCAGGAGAGCCUGUGUGGGGAAAAUUUUCCCUUUGAUUUUGAUAAAAUUUGAGUUAGGUUCUUUUUUUUUUUAAUCUUCCCCUCAUAAUGUAAACAUAUUUGCCUCAGUCAAUUCAGAUUCAUUGUACCAAGUUGCACAUCUAUGUACUCAGUAGGCGAGAGAGUCCUUUCUCUAUUGGCAAUAGCCUUAAUUCUCUCUUAAGUGCCAGAUUGGUGGUAAUUCUCUCUGGUGAGUUGCUAAACCCAAUCUUUUUCAUCUGUAUGUCUGAAUGUCAACAUCUCCUUAAAUCUGAGUCGGACCUCUGUGUUAAAUUCUUUUUAAAAAUUCUUCCUUAUUUAAAUAUUCAUGGGAAUGGCUGAUCUCCAACCUAUGAAAUAAAAGUAGAAGUUUUAGACAAAUCUCUUCCAUUUAAUUUUCCCAUUCCAAAGACUUUAGAAACAAGUCUGAAAAUUAUAGGAACCACAAAUUUUAAAAAAAGUGUUAGUUUGAUAUGUCUGAAAUUAAUGCUUUAAUUUAUUCACCACAGAAUGUCUUCACACAUCGCUGUUUUUUGUAAUUUAUACCAUACACUGUCUACUCAAGUUAAUGUGUGAAGCAUGGUUAAAUUAUGCCUAAAAAGGAAUAUGAAAACUCUCUACAAUAUGGUCACGGGAAAAGGGUCUAACAAGGAGUAAUGGGGCAAAAUUUAAAUAAGAGAAAUUGAAAUAGAAGUUUCAGAAAAACUGUCAGGUAUUGAAGAUUCGCCUAACUGGAAUAAGCUCCUCAGAAAAAGACUUAAAAACUUUUAGAGGGCCAGCCUGGUGGCGCAGCAGUUAAGUUCCCAUGUUCCACUUCGGCAACCCUGGGUUUGCUGGUUCGGAUCCCGGGUGCGGACAUGGCACCACGUGGCAAGCCAUGCUGUGGCAGGCGUCCCACAUAUAAAGUGGAGGAAGAUGGGCAUGGAUGUUAGCUCAGGGCCAGUCUUCCUCAGCAAAAAGAGGAGGAUUGGCGGUAGAUGUUAGCUCAGGGCUAAUCUUCCUCAAAAAUAAAUAAAUAAAUAAAAAAUAAAAAUAAAGUGAGGCAUAUUAAAAAUUAAAAAAAAAACUUUUAGAGCAGUCGACUGGAAAUGGAUUAGACAAAGUUCUAGAAAAUAUUUCUAUAGGGAAUGCAUAAUUGUACGUGUGGUCUAACCAGUAGACCACAUAAUCUAAUGAGCUUUUGUGUGUUUUCAAUCUUUUGUUAAUCAUAUCAAAGGAGGUUUGGGAUAAAGAUCAAAUGAACAAUUCCAUAGAAAAGAGACAUAUUUUGUCAAUAUGAUGUCGUUUGUUCUUUUCCCCAUUGUGUAUCACAUGCUGACAGGACUUUCGUUCCUCUUCUUGUGGCUAAUUUAAUGCUGUAAAGGAUGCCAGACUGAUAGCUCGGGAGAUUGCUGUCUGUUCUACACGUUCCUGACCUUGUACUUCAGUCUCAUUCUAAAGGAGUCCGGGCGAGAACUGUAAAGGCAGGAUGGUCACUGUGUGAUACAGUUUUGUUUUCUUUUUGAGAUUAAUAAUACAGUCCUAAUGAGUGUUUUUAAAUGUUAGCAAUUUGGAGGUUGCAUUCAUUAAUUCACUGAAACUCCUACCUGUGUGUGAAACCCUUGCUUGUAGGUUUUAGGCCGUGUAGGAAAUACAGAUCUCUGAGAGACUGCUCCUGCCUUCAAUGAGUGUACAGUUCGGUGAGCUGCUAAAAUGAGUAAGAGCUGCUCUUUACAUGGGCCAUCACUUCUAAAACUCUGAACCCAAAACGGGAAAUGGAGUUCGGAGAUGUGAGGCAUGAGGGGGUGGGGAGAGGGGAUGUGCAAGAGGAGGUUGCCACGCUGGGUGAGUGUAGGUUUAUUUCCCUCUGUGAUGAUUAAUAGACUUGUUUUUUCUCUUGUACUAGGAUUCUCCCAAGAAACAGAACCAAUAAGAGAUGGACAGGUCUAGAUAAAAAGAUGUGUUUGAGGAACUGGCUCACAUGAUUACAGAGACUGAGAAGUCCCACGAUCUGCAUCUAAAAGCCGGAGACCCAGCAAAGCCGAUGUGUAAUUCCUGUCUGAGUCCAAAGGCCUAACAACCAGAGGAGCUGAUGGUGUAAAUCCUCGUCCAAGGGCAGGAGAAGACCGAGGUCCCAGCUCAACCUGGCAGCCAGGCUAGAGCAUGUCAGCGAGAGGCACCCUUGCGCCCAAGUGAUGGAGCGAUCCUUAUUCUCCAGUCAGUUGCAGUCAGAAUUGUUUUGAUUCAAGGAAACUCCUUAGUAAACACCCUGCUGGAUAAACUCCAUCUCAGAGUCUAUCGCCCAGGCAACCCAACCUGUGACAACAAUUGAAUAACAUCUUUAAGUACUGAAAUAUAUAAAACUAUCAACCCAGGAUUCUGUAUACAGCAAAACUGUCUUUCGGAAAUGAAGGCAAAUAAAGAUAUUUUCAGAUAAACAAAAGCUGAGAAUAUGUAUCACCAGCAGACUUGUGCUGUAAGAAAUACUAAAGGGAAUUAAGUGGAAGGGGAAUGACACCAGAUGGUAACUUGGAUUCAAUGGAAGGAAUAAAGAAUGCAAGAAAUGGCAAAUAUUUGGGUAAAUAUAAGAGUAUGUACACAUUUUCUUGAAAAAUCAUAUGAUUGUAUAAUGCAAAUUAUAACACUGUGUUGUGGGGUUUAUAACAUAAGCAGAUGUAAAUAUGAGUAAAACCUCAUAAAGUUUGG